UCAGCAGUCAAGGAAUAUUAGUCAAUGCGCGCGAUUAUGAACUAGCUACCUGGCAUUAUUCUCACCUGGGGGACUGGGAAAUGAUGUAAUAACGUAGAGGGAAAAUAAUGAUAUGCCCUACUACUACUAGUGCUGUCCAAAGCUGGUGCCAGAAGACUCGGUAAGGCCAGAAGCACAAACGUUAGUCGUAAUAAUCAGGCGUAAAGGGUGUGUAGGCUGCUUUUUAAAACAUUUCUUUUUAAAUUAACUACGGUAAUAGAAAUAUACUGAUUAAAAAGAAAGGUGACUAGAAGCUAGAAUCAUAACGAGGUUAAACCGAAUAAUACUUAGUGUAGGGAUCAAAUCUUCAAAGACUAAGGGGAAUACUUAAAGGUGUAAGCUUUUUUCCACUAAUGAUUGACGCUGAGACACGAAGGUGAGGAAAGGAAAUAGGAUUAGAUACCCAAACUACCCCUUACUGUCAACGAUGAAUGGUAACUUGUUAGUUUUUAAAAUUAGCAUUGAUGUUAACGCGAUAACCAUUCCGCCUUGCGAGUACGGUUGCAAAACUGAAACCAAAAAAAUUAGUCGGUCUCGAAGCAAACGAAGUGAAGCAUGUUAUUUAAUUCCGAUAAUCCGCAA
RNAcentral lists this ribosomal RNA (621 nucleotides) under Mycena sp. SFSU BBH19066. RNAcentral describes it as "SSU rRNA". It matches the Rfam family "Bacterial small subunit ribosomal RNA", at positions 348 to 965 of the family's 1533-position model. Lineage: Eukaryota; Fungi; Basidiomycota; Agaricomycetes; Agaricales; Mycenaceae. The record is from RNAcentral.